Molecule: ribosomal RNA, 426 nt
Filed under: uncultured prokaryote
Description: bacterial SSU rRNA
Rfam family: Bacterial small subunit ribosomal RNA
Source: RNAcentral
UGGGGAAUAUUGGACAAUGGGCGAAAGCCUGAUCCAGCCAUGCCGCGUGAGUGAUUUGAAGGCCCUAGGGUUGUAAAGCUCUUUCGGCGGGGAAGAUGAUGACGGUACCCGCAGAAGAAGCCCCGGCUAACUCCGUGCCAGCAGCCGCGGUAAUACGGAGGGGGCUAGCGUUGCUCGGAAUCACUGGGCGUAAAGCGAGCGUAGGCGGCCGCGCAAGUCGGGGGUGAAAGCCCGGGGCUCAACCCCGGAACUGCCCUCGAAACUGCGUGGCUAGAGGCCGGGAGAGGAGAGUGGAAUUCCCAGUGGAGAGGUGAAAUUCGCAGAUAUUGGGAGGAACACCGGUGGCGAAAGCGGCUCUCUGGAACGGUUCUGACGCUGAGGCUCGAAAGCGUGGGGAGCAAACAGGAUUAGAUACCCCCGUAGUCC